Molecule: ribosomal RNA, 2820 nt
Filed under: Triticum aestivum (bread wheat)
Lineage: Eukaryota; Viridiplantae; Streptophyta; Magnoliopsida; Poales; Poaceae
Description: partial small subunit ribosomal RNA
Source: RNAcentral
AUGGUCAACUGUCUUACCGAAAGAGUGACAAAUGGUAUGAACUCAUCGCUGCUCAAGGAAUUCUCAGAAAAGGAAGUUAGCGAUGCGCUGUUUCAAAUUGGACCACUCAAAGCGCCUGGCCCUGACGGUUUCCCAGCCAGGGUUUUUCAAAGGAAUUGGAGUACGGUCAAGAAGGACGUGGUGAAUGCGGUUCUAAAUUUUUUCAGGGAGGGCGUCAUGCCAGAGGGAAUCAAUGAUACAGUCAUUGUGCUUAUACCCAAGAAAAACAACCCAAAGCACUUGAAAGAUUUCCGUCCAAUAAGCCUGUGUAAUGUGGUCUACAUGGUUAUCUCGAAAUGCAUGUUGGAUUUGGCGAAAGCGUACGAUAGAGUAGACUGGGGCUUCUUGGAAGAGGCCCUGUUGAAGCUUGGUUUCAAUCGCAAAUGGGUGGAUUGGGUGAUGUGCUGUGUGAAAUCUGUGAGGUAUUCUGUUAAAUACAAUGGUGAGCUCCUUAACACAUUCGCCCCCUCCAGAGGACUUCGGCAGGGUGACCCGCUAAGCCCUUACCUUUUCCUCUUCGUUGCGGAGGGACACACCUGUCUGUUGGAUAAAGAGAUUCGAUCUGGAAAUAUAACUCCCAUUAAAAUUGCUAGGGGUUGCCCUGGGAUUUCAAAUCUACUAUUCGCCGAUGACAGCCUUCUCUUUUUCAAAGCUUCAGUUGAAGAGGCCGAGAGGGUGAAACAAGUCCUAAUUGAUUUCCAAAAGGGCUCGGGACAACUUCUCAGUUUCAGCAAGUGUUCUUUAUUUUUCAGUGAGCUAUGCCCAGUGGAGGUCCAACAAGAUGUCAAAAUGGUGCUUGAUAUCAUGGCCUCCACCUUUGAAAGCAAGUAUUUAGGACUCCCCACGCCAGAAGGACGAAUGAAAGAUUCCAUGUUCCAACCUAUCAUGGAGAGAUUCAUCAAGAGGUUCUCAGAUUGGUCUGAAAGAUUUAUGUCUCAUGCGUCGAAAGAGGUUCUUGUUAAGUCAGUCCUACAAGCUCUCCCAACUUACUGCAUGGGGGUCUUCAAAAUGACCCAGGGUUUCUGCAAGAGAUACGAGAAACUGAUACGGGACUUCUGGUGGGGCGAUGAAAAUGGCCACAAGAAAGUUCAUUGGAUGUCCUGGGAGCGCAUGAUAAAGCCAAAAAGAGGAGGUUGCAUCGGUUUUAAAGAUAUGAAGCUUUUCAAUCAAGCACUGCUCGCACGGCAAGCCUGGAGGUUGAUUCUAAGACCGCAUAGCUUGUGCGCAAGAGUUCUUAAAUUCAAGUACUACCCGUAUGGUGAACUAUUGGAUAUGGUGUUUGCAACGAAUGCCUCUCCGGUUUGGCGGGGAAUUGAACAUGGGCUUGAGCUUCUCAAGGCGGAUCUUGUCUCGAGGAUUGGUAAUGGAAGGAAGGUCAACAUUCAACGGGAUCAAUGGAUCCCGCGCAAGGAAGGACUGAAACCUGCUCAAUUCAUUCGGCGUUCCAGAUUAAGAUGGGUUAAUCAAUUGAUGAAUGCUGACGGCAGCGGUUGGAACUCGGAGUUGAUCCACCAACUGUUUUUUAGUUUUGAUGCCGAAGCGAUUUGCAAUAUCAAAAUCCCAGUAUCUGAGGCGGAGGACACGGUGGCGUGGCACUAUGAGAAAUCGGGCACCUUCACUGUCCGGAGUGCGUACAGACUGGCGGCAUCUCUCCAAAUCCAAGAAAGUAGGCCAGCUUCGAGUUCCACAAAUUCAGGCGAUGACCGUAGCAUCUGGGAUAUCAUCUGGAAAGCCAAGGUCCCUGAAAAAAUUAAGAUUUUUGGGUGGAGAAUAGCUACAAAUACCUUACCGACCAAAUUAAACAAAUGGAAACGUACUCUAGAAGUUGACAACACCUGCAAUAUCUGUGGCAACGGGGAGGAAGAUGAAUAUCAUGCGGUAAUUUCCUGUACGAAAAGUAAGGCCUUAAGAAGCGAAAUGCGGAAAGUCUGGGAUCUACCUAGCGAGACACUCUUUAGGUUCUCAGGGGAGGACUGGCUUCAGAUCCUCCUAGGAACCUGCAAUACGGAGAUGGGGACUAAAACUAUUCUGCUGCUGUGGAGGUGUUGGUUCCUGCGAGAUGAUUGCAUCCAUAGUACGGGAAAGGAGUUGAUCAGUAGAUCGGCACAAUUUCUGCAGCAAUAUGAGGAGGAACUGAUCAGCUACAACAGGAAGUUUUUUCAGGACCAAAGGAUAAACAAGGCAGGGAGCAUACAGUUCUUGUUUCGGCCGAGCAAGAACGACCUGUCUCUGACGCUGGUGUACAGAUGUUACAGGACAAGGAACCUGAUUCGGGUGUUGCAAAGAAGUGGUACCCCCCCAGACAGCGAAACUGUCAAACUGAAUACUGAUUCUUCUUUCGUUGCCGACAACGGGAUUUCUCAUGUGGGCGCAGUGGCUCGCGAUCACGGGGGAAUCGUUCUCCACUCGCUGUCCAAAGAAAUUGAUCGCUGCUCUUCUGUGGAGGAAGCCGAGGCUCGUGCUCUGCUCUAUGGACUGCAGAAAUUGGCGACGCUGUACAGAGGACCUGUCAUCGCUGAGACUGACUGUUUAUUCCUGGUGAAGGAAUUACAACCUGAUUCAGAUAAUCGAUCAGCCUGUUUCUCAGUGCUACACGACAUCAAGAAGGAGCUGCAGAAUUUCCAAGGAUCUCAGGUCAUAUAUGCUAACCGUAAACAGAACAAUUUGGCGGAUUGCCUCGCGGCCAGAGCUAGGAGAAUGGGCGACAUGCAAUGGGUGGCGACUGUCCCGGAUGACCUGAAAGCAGUGCUAGCAGCCGACUGUAUGUUGGCUCAAGAGUAA